RNAcentral lists this ribosomal RNA (829 nucleotides) under uncultured bacterium. RNAcentral describes it as "bacterial SSU rRNA". It matches the Rfam family "Bacterial small subunit ribosomal RNA", at positions 94 to 954 of the family's 1533-position model. The record is from RNAcentral.
AGUGGCGCACGGGUGAGUAACACGUGACUAACCUACCCUGGAGUGGGGGAUAACUGAGGGAAACCUUAGCUAAUACCGCAUAAUACCCACGGGUCAAAGGAGCAAUUCGCUCUGGGAGGGGGUCGCGGCCGAUUAGUUAGUUGGCGGGGUAACGGCCCACCAAGACGAUGAUCGGUAUCCGGCCUGAGAGGGCGCACGGACACACUGGAACUGAAACACGGUCCAGACUCCUACGGGAGGCAGCAGUGGGGAAUUUUGCGCAAUGGGGGAAACCCUGACGCAGCAACGCCGCGUGGAGGAUGAAGUCCUUCGGGACGUAAACUCCUUUCGAUCGGGACGAUUAUGACGGUACCGGAAGAAGAAGCCCCGGCUAACUUCGUGCCAGCAGCCGCGGUAAUACGAGGGGGGCGAGCGUUGUUCGGAAUUAUUGGGCGUAAAGGGUGCGUAGGCGGUUUGGUAAGUCUUGUGUGAAAUCUAUGGGCUCAACUCAUAGUCUGCACGAGAAACUGCCGGGCUUGAGUGUGGGAGAGGUGAGUGGAAUUCCUGGUGUAGCGGUGAAAUGCGUAGAUAUCAGGAGGAACACCUGUGGCGAAAGCGGCUCACUGGACCACAACUGACGCUGAUGCACGAAAGCUAGGGGAGCAAACAGGAUUAGAUACCCUGGUAGUCCUAGCCCUAAACGAUGACUGCUUGGUGUGACGGGUACCCAAUCCCGCCGUGCCGUAGCUAACGCGUUAAGCAGUCCGCCUGGGGAGUACGGCCGCAAGGUUGAAACUCAAAGGAAUUGACGGGGGCCCGCACAAGCGGUGGAGCAUGUGGUUUAAUUCGA